This 253-nucleotide ribosomal RNA is filed under the name uncultured bacterium. RNAcentral's name for it is "partial 16S ribosomal RNA". It matches the Rfam family "Bacterial small subunit ribosomal RNA", at positions 524 to 776 of the family's 1533-position model. The record is from RNAcentral.
UACGGAGGGGGCUAGCGUUGUUCGGAAUUACUGGGCGUAAAGCGCGCGUAGGCGGACCUGCAAGUCGGGGGUGAAAGCCCGAGGCUCAACCUCGGAACUGCCUUCGAUACUGCGGGUCUCGAGUCCGGGAGGGGUGAGUGGAAUUCCUAGUGUAGAGGUGAAAUUCGUAGAUAUUAGGAAGAACACCAGUGGCGAAGGCGGCUCACUGGCCCGGUACUGACGCUGAGGCGUGAAAGCGUGGGGAGCAAACAGG